RNAcentral lists this ribosomal RNA (121 nucleotides) under Helianthus annuus (common sunflower). Lineage: Eukaryota; Viridiplantae; Streptophyta; Magnoliopsida; Asterales; Asteraceae. RNAcentral also lists the same sequence under 1 other name. The record is from RNAcentral.
GGUUGCGAUCAUACCAGCACUAAUGCACCGGAUCCCAUCAGAACUCCGCAGUUAAGCGUGCUUGGGCGAGAGUAGUACUAGGAUGGGUGACCCCCUGGGAAGUCCUCGUGUUGCAACCCCC